GACGAACGCUGGCGGCGUGCUUAACACAUGCAAGUCGAACGGAAAGGCCCUGCUUUUGUGGGGUGCUCGAGUGGCGAACGGGUGAGUAACACGUGAGUAACCUGCCCUUGACUUUGGGAUAACUUCAGGAAACUGGGGCUAAUACCGGAUAGGAGCUCCUGCUGCAUGGUGGGGGUUGGAAAGUUUCGGCGGUUGGGGAUGGACUCGCGGCUUAUCAGCUUGUUGGUGGGGUAGUGGCUUACCAAGGCUUUGACGGGUAGCCGGCCUGAGAGGGUGACCGGCCACAUUGGGACUGAGAGACGGCCCAGACUCCUACGGGAGGCAGCAGUGGGGAAUAUUGCACAAUGGGCGGAAGCCUGAUGCAGCAACGCCGCGUGCGGGAUGACGGCCUUCGGGUUGUAAACCGAUUUCGCCUGUGACGAAGCGUGAGUGACGGUAAUGGGUAAAGAAGCACCGGCUAACUACGUG
Molecule: ribosomal RNA, 468 nt
Filed under: uncultured bacterium
Lineage: Bacteria
Description: partial 16S ribosomal RNA
Rfam family: Bacterial small subunit ribosomal RNA
Source: RNAcentral